CUAAGCUUCAAGUUGCCCAAGUUUAUAGAAUGAGUCAAUGGCAGAGGUUGAACUCAGAUGACAAAAUUGGGGUCUGGACAUGUGCAAGGACUUUUCCGAAGUCAGCUGGAAAGGAGCUGCUUAGCUGAGAGGUUCUGGCUCCAAAGUCUCCUGUGAAGUUGCAGUCAAGAUGUCUGCUGGGACCCCAGUCAUUUGAAGCCCUGUCUGGGGCAGGAGAAUCUAGGUCCAAAAUGGCCGUUGCAGGAGUCCUUAUCCACACCAUGUGGGGCCUCUUCAUAGAUGUUCGAGUGUCCUCAUGGCAUGGCCACUGGCUUUCCCCAAAGUAAGCAGUCCAAAAGAGGGUAAGACAGAGCCCACACUGUCUUUUAUGAAUUAGCCUUGGAAGUCUAACACGGUUACUUCCACCACAUUCAUUAGUCGUUAGGUACAGCUCACAUU
This 438-nucleotide long non-coding RNA is filed under the name Pan troglodytes (chimpanzee). Its description in RNAcentral is "long non-coding RNA NONPTRT004328". The record is from RNAcentral. Lineage: Eukaryota; Metazoa; Chordata; Mammalia; Primates; Hominidae.